This 700-nucleotide ribosomal RNA is filed under the name Bacillus sp. McSB1. Its description in RNAcentral is "bacterial SSU rRNA". It matches the Rfam family "Bacterial small subunit ribosomal RNA", at positions 72 to 755 of the family's 1533-position model. The record is from RNAcentral. Lineage: Bacteria; Bacillati; Bacillota; Bacilli; Caryophanales; Bacillaceae.
UUAAGAGCUUGCUCUUAUGAAGUUAGCGGCGGACGGGUGAGUAACACGUGGGUAACCUGCCCAUAAGACUGGGAUAACUCCGGGAAACCGGGGCUAAUACCGGAUAACAUUUUGAACUGCAUGGUUCGAAAUUGAAAGGCGGCUUCGGCUGUCACUUAUGGAUGGACCCGCGUCGCAUUAGCUAGUUGGUGAGGUAACGGCUCACCAAGGCAACGAUGCGUAGCCGACCUGAGAGGGUGAUCGGCCACACUGGGACUGAGACACGGCCCAAACUCCUACGGGAGGCAGCAGUAGGGAAUCUUCCGCAAUGGACGAAAGUCUGACGGAGCAACGCCGCGUGAGUGAUGAAGGCUUUCGGGUCGUAAAACUCUGUUGUUAGGGAAGAACAAGUGCUAGUUGAAUAAGCUGGCACCUUGACGGUACCUAACCAGAAAGCCACGGCUAACUACGUGCCAGCAGCCGCGGUAAUACGUAGGUGGCAAGCGUUAUCCGGAAUUAUUGGGCGUAAAGCGCGCGCAGGUGGUUUCUUAAGUCUGAUGUGAAAGCCCACGGCUCAACCGUGGAGGGUCAUUGGAAACUGGGAGACUUGAGUGCAGAAGAGGAAAGUGGAAUUCCAUGUGUAGCGGUGAAAUGCGUAGAGAUAUGGAGGAACACCAGUGGCGAAGGCGACUUUCUGGUCUGUAACUGACACUGAGGCGCG